This 492-nucleotide ribosomal RNA is filed under the name uncultured bacterium. RNAcentral describes it as "partial 16S ribosomal RNA". It matches the Rfam family "Bacterial small subunit ribosomal RNA", at positions 29 to 507 of the family's 1533-position model. The record is from RNAcentral.
AGUGAACGCUGGCGGUAGGCCUAACACAUGCAAGUCGAACGGCAGCACAGUAAGAGCUUGCUCUUACGGGUGGCGAGUGGCGGACGAGUGAGGAAUACAUCGGAAUCUACUUUUUCGGGGGGGAUAACGUAGGGAAACUUAUGCUAAUACCGCAUACGUCCUACGGGUGAAAGCAGGGGAUCUUCGGACCUUGCGCGAUUGAAUGAGCCGAUGUCGGAUUAGCUAGUUGGCGGGGUAAGGGCCCACCAAGGCGACGAUCCGUGGCUGGUCUGAGAGGAUGAUCAGCCACACUGGAACUGAGACACGGUCCAGACUCCUACGGGAGGCAGCAGUGGGGAAUAUUGGACAAUGGGCGCAAGCCUGAUCCAGCCAUACCGCGUGGGUGAAGAAGGCCUUCGGGUUGUAAAGCCCUUUUGUUGGGAAAGAAAAGCAGCAGGUUAAUACCCCGCUGUUCUGACGGUACCCAAAGAAUAAGCACCGGCUAACUUCGUG